ACUCAAAGGAAUAGACGGGGGCCCGCACAAGCGGCGGAGCAUGCGGCUUAAUUCGACGCAACGCGAAGAACCUUACCAAGGCUUGACAUACAGGGAAAUCCUCCAGAGAUGGGGGGUCCGUAAGGGUCCUGUACAGGUGGUGCAUGGUUGUCGUCAGCUCGUGUCGUGAGAUGUUGGGUUAAGUCCCGCAACGAGCGCAACCCUCGUUCUAUGUUGCCAGCGCGUUAUGGCGGGGACUCAUAGGAGACUGCCGGGGUCAACUCGGAGGAAGGUGGGGAUGACGUCAAAUCAUCAUGCCCCUUAUGUCUUGGGCUGCACGCAUGCUACAAUGGCCAGUACAAAGGGCUGCGAUACCGCAAGGUUGAGCGAAUCCCAAAAAGCUGGUCUCAGUUCGGAUUGGGGUCUGCAACUCGACCCCAUGAAGUCGGAGUCGCUAGUAAUCGCAGAUCAGCAACGCUGCGGUGAAUACGUUCCCGGGCCUUGCACACACCGCCCGU
This 497-nucleotide ribosomal RNA is filed under the name uncultured bacterium. Its description in RNAcentral is "partial 16S ribosomal RNA". It matches the Rfam family "Bacterial small subunit ribosomal RNA", at positions 899 to 1397 of the family's 1533-position model. The record is from RNAcentral.